CAGUCAUGUCGGUUGGUUUCAGCUAGCUCUGCUAGUGUAUUACCUUCCGACGGGUCAACAUCAGUUUUGGUGCGGCGGAUAAGAACGGAUUGAAGGUGGCACCCUCGGGUGUGUUAUAGCCUCUUGUCGCAUACGUCGGUCGAGACUGAGGAACGCAGCUCGCCUUCAUGGCCGGGGUUCGCCCCGACGUCCGGGCUUAGGAUGUUGACAUAAUGGCUUUAAGCGACCCGUCUUGAAACACGGACCAAGGAGUCUAACAUAUGUGCGAGU
Molecule: ribosomal RNA, 270 nt
Filed under: Rhizophagus prolifer
Lineage: Eukaryota; Fungi; Glomeromycota; Glomeromycetes; Glomerales; Glomeraceae
Source: RNAcentral